RNAcentral lists this long non-coding RNA (807 nucleotides) under Ananas comosus (pineapple). RNAcentral's name for it is "long non-coding RNA (ACOM_LNC014222)". The record is from RNAcentral. Lineage: Eukaryota; Viridiplantae; Streptophyta; Magnoliopsida; Poales; Bromeliaceae.
AUUAUGGUGCUUUUAAUUUUUUUACUCUGGGAUACUAAAUAAUUGGUGCUUAUAGAUUUUUUGGCCAUCCGAUUAAAAAAUAUGUGGUUAGGAUGACGUGAACCCCUUAGGGUUAAGUGAGCGUUUGGUUGAAUAAUAUAAUCUAACAGAUGAAAAUGAUUAAAGGCGUAGAUCUAAUGAUAAAAAAUUUACAAGCAUCAAGUACUUGGUAUUUUUACAAGCACCAUAUAUAGCUGGACUCUCUCUCUCUUUCUCUAUCUCUCUCUAUAUAUAUGAGAAAAUAUAAGGAAAAACUUUAAAUACCGCCCCUGUGGUUUCGCACUUUCUCACUUUAGUACCUUGUGGUUUAAAAUGUAUCAAGUUAAUGCCAUAUGGUUUCGCACUUUCUCACUUUAGUACCAUGUGGUUUAAACUGUAUCAAGGUAGUACUCUGUGGUUUCAUUUUUGUAUCAAGUUAGUAUCCUGUGGUUUCAUUUUUCUCUUUUUAUUAUUCAUUUCGGGGCAUUUUUUCGUUAAAUCAGUAACAAAAUUAAAACUAAAGAGUACUAAAAUGAAUAAUUGAUAAACUUAGGUAAGGUAUUUGAAGCUUUUUGUAUAUAAUUUAAUAAAAUAUUAAACCACAUGGUACUAAAGUGAGAAAGUACGAAACCAUAUGGUACUCGAUCACUUGAUAUACUUUAAACCAUAGAGUACUAAAGUGAAAAAGUGCGAAACCACAUGAGAGUAUUUUGAAGUUUUUCCAAAAUAUAAGUUUAUUUUAGUUUCAAAGUUCUUUUAUAAGAGCUCUCUCUUGCCUCCUAUCGUAGU